This 468-nucleotide ribosomal RNA is filed under the name uncultured bacterium. Its description in RNAcentral is "partial 16S ribosomal RNA". It matches the Rfam family "Bacterial small subunit ribosomal RNA", at positions 28 to 507 of the family's 1533-position model. The record is from RNAcentral.
GACGAACGCUGGCGGCGUGCUUAACACAUGCAAGUCGAACGGAAAGGCCCUGCUUUUGUGGGGUGCUCGAGUGGCGAACGGGUGAGUAACACGUGAGUAACCUGCCCUUGACUUUGGGAUAACUUCAGGAAACUGGGGCUAAUACCGGAUAGGAGCUCCUGCUGCAUGGUGGGGGUUGGUAAGUUUCGGCGGUUGGGGAUGGACUCGCGGCUUAUCAGCUUGUUGGUGGGGUAGGGGCUUACCAAGGCUUUGACGGGUAGCCGGCCUGAGAGGGUGACCGGCGACAUUGGGACUGAGAUACGGACCAGACGCCUACGGGAGGCAGCAGUGGGGAAUAUUGCACAAUGGGCGGAAGCCUGAUGCAGCAACGCCGCGUGCGGGAUGACGGCCUUCGGGUUGUAAACCGCUGUCGCCUGUGACGAAGCGUGAGUGACGGUAAUGGGUAAAGAAGCACCGGCUAACUACGUG